RNAcentral lists this ribosomal RNA (550 nucleotides) under uncultured bacterium. RNAcentral describes it as "bacterial SSU rRNA". It matches the Rfam family "Bacterial small subunit ribosomal RNA", at positions 355 to 896 of the family's 1533-position model. The record is from RNAcentral.
UAGGGAAUCUUCGGCAAUGGACGGAAGUCUGACCGAGCAACGCCGCGUGAGUGAAGAAGGUUUUCGGAUCGUAAAGCUCUGUUGUAAGAGAAGAACGAGUGUGAGAGUGGAAAGUUCACACUGUGACGGUAUCUUACCAGAAAGGGACGGCUAACUACGUGCCAGCAGCCGCGGUANUACGUAGGUCCCGAGCGUUGUCCGGAUUUAUUGGGCGUAAAGCGAGCGCAGGCGGUUAGAUAAGUCUGAAGUUAAAGGCUGUGGCUUAACCAUAGUAGGCUUUGGAAACUGUUUAACUUGAGUGCAAGAGGGGAGAGUGGAAUUCCAUGUGUAGCGGUGAAAUGCGUAGAUAUAUGGAGGAACACCGGUGGCGAAAGCGGCUCUCUGGCUUGUAACUGACGCUGAGGCUCGAAAGCGUGGGGAGCAAACAGGAUUAGAUACCCUGGUAGUCCACGCUGUAUACGAUGAGUGCUAGGUGUUAGACCCUUUCCGGGGUUUAGUGCCGUAGCUAACGCAUUAAGCACUCCGCCUGGGGAGUACGACCGCAAGGUUG